GACGAACGCUGGCGGCGUGCUUAACACAUGCAAGUCGAACGGGCCUUGUCCCCUUUUUUUUGGGGGUGGGGUUAGUGGCGAACGGGUGAGUAACACGUGAGUAACCUGCCCCUCACUUCUGGAUAACCGCUUGAAAGGGUGGCUAAUACGGGGUGUUCUGGCCUGCUCGCAUGGGUGGGUUUGGAAAGAUUCGACCGGUUUUGGUUGUUUUGGUGGGGGAUGGGCUCGCGGCCUAUCAGCUUGUUGGUGGGGUGGUGGCCUGCCAAGGCUUUGACGGGUAGCCGGCCUGAGAGGGUGGGCGGUCACACUGGGACUGGGACACGGCCCAGACUCCUACGGGAGGCAGCAGUGGGGAAUAUUGCACAAUGGGCGCAAGCCUGAUGCAGCGACGCCGCGUGAGGGAUGGAGGCCUUCGGGUUGUGAACCUCUUUCGCCAGUGAAGAAGGUCCUGCUCUUUGUGGUGGGGUUGACGGUAGCUGGGUUAAUGAAGCGCCGGCUAACUACGUG
Molecule: ribosomal RNA, 507 nt
Filed under: uncultured bacterium
Lineage: Bacteria
Description: partial 16S ribosomal RNA
Rfam family: Bacterial small subunit ribosomal RNA
Source: RNAcentral